Molecule: ribosomal RNA, 429 nt
Filed under: Austrocochlea rudis
Lineage: Eukaryota; Metazoa; Mollusca; Gastropoda; Trochida; Trochidae
Description: partial 16S ribosomal RNA
Rfam family: Bacterial large subunit ribosomal RNA
Source: RNAcentral
AGCUGUCUCUUUCUUGAUAUUUAAAAAUUAACUUUUAGGUGAAGAGGCCUAAAUGAAACUAAGGGACGAGAAGACCCUAUUGAGCUUUAGUGAAGCAAUAAGUUUUGAGUGUAAUUGAAUUUAGGAACUGUUAUAUAUUUAUAGAGUUUUAUUUUGUUGUGAAUCUUUAGUUGGGGCGACUGAGGAACAGAAAAAGCUUCCUUUGUAUUAUAAGACUUUGAUUUAUCUUAUAUGAUGCUAGCGAGCUAUUUGAUCCAGUAUUUAUUGAUUAAGGGAAAAAGUUACCAUAGGGAUAACAGCGUAAUCUUUCUGGAGAGAUCAUAUCGAAAGGAGGGUUUGCGACCUCGAUGUUGGACUAAGAUAUCCUAAAGGUGUAGAAGCUUUUAAAGGUUGGUCUGUUCGACCAUUAAAAUCUUACGUGAUCUGAGU